UACGUAGGUGGCAAGCGUUGUCCGGAUUUAUUGGGUUUAAAGGGUGCGUAGGCGGCCCUGUAAGUCAGCGGUGAAAUACGGCAGCUCAACUGUCGAGGUGCCGUUGAUACUGCGGGGCUUGAGUGUUGACGAGGAAGGCGGAAUUGACGGUGUAGCGGUGAAAUGCUUAGAUAUCGUCAAGAACACCGAUAGCGAAGGCAGCCUUCCAGGCAACAACUGACGCUGAGGCACGAAAGUGCGGGGAU
This 245-nucleotide ribosomal RNA is filed under the name uncultured bacterium. RNAcentral's name for it is "partial 16S ribosomal RNA". It matches the Rfam family "Bacterial small subunit ribosomal RNA", at positions 524 to 768 of the family's 1533-position model. The record is from RNAcentral.